This 857-nucleotide ribosomal RNA is filed under the name uncultured bacterium. Its description in RNAcentral is "SSU rRNA". It matches the Rfam family "Bacterial small subunit ribosomal RNA", at positions 524 to 1381 of the family's 1533-position model. The record is from RNAcentral.
UACGGGAGUGGCAAGCGUUAUCCGGAAUUAUUGGGCGUAAAGCGUCCGCAGGCGGUCUUGUAAGUCUGUCGUUAAAGCGUGGAGCUUAACUCCAUUUCAGCGAUGGAAACUGCAAGACUAGAGUGUGGUAGGGGCAGAGGGAAUUCCCGGUGUAGCGGUGAAAUGCGUAGAUAUCGGGAAGAACACCAGUGGCGAAGGCGCUCUGCUGGGCCAUAACUGACGCUCAUGGACGAAAGCCAGGGGAGCGAAAGGGAUUAGAUACCCCUGUAGUCCUGGCCGUAAACGAUGAACACUAGGUGUCGGGGGAAUCGACCCCCUCGGUGUCGUAGCCAACGCGUUAAGUGUUCCGCCUGGGGAGUACGCACGCAAGUGUGAAACUCAAAGGAAUUGACGGGGGCCCGCACAAGCGGUGGAGUAUGUGGUUUAAUUCGAUGCAACGCGAAGAACCUUACCAGGGUUUGACAUCCUGCGAAUCUCUUGGAAACGAGAGAGUGCCUUCGGGAACGCAGUGACAGGUGGUGCAUGGCUGUCGUCAGCUCGUGUCGUGAGAUGUUGGGUUAAGUCCCGCAACGAGCGCAACCCACGUCGUUAGUUGCCAGCAUUUAGUUGGGCACUCUAGCGAGACCGCCGGUGAUAAACCGGAGGAAGGUGUGGAUGACGUCAAGUCAUCAUGCCCCUUACAUCCUGGGCUACACACGUACUACAAUGCUACGGACAAAGGGCAGCAAACUCGCGAGAGCUAGCAAAUCCCAUAAACCGUGGCUCAGUUCAGAUCGUAGGCUGCAACUCGCCUACGUGAAGGAGGAAUCGCUAGUAAUCGCAGGUCAGCAUACUGCGGUGAAUACGUUCCCGGGCCU